Molecule: long non-coding RNA, 2417 nt
Organism: Gavialis gangeticus (Gharial)
Lineage: Eukaryota; Metazoa; Chordata; Crocodylia; Gavialidae
Exons: 3
Source: RefSeq, a predicted model, not a curated record
AGCUAUCUGUAUACCCAUACAGUGCUGAAUUUCUGCCUUAUUUUUCUGUUUGUGUAUAUGUACGUAUAUAUGUUAUGAGAUUAGUAAAAAAAUCUUAUUUUUUAAAGUUGUCAAGUAAGAUUUGUGGUGACUGAGAACAUCAGAAGUUAAUUAAAGUAAUUGCAAUGUAGGCAGAAAUUUAAGCGUACAGAUUUUUUUUUCAUUAAAAAAAUUGUACGUAAAAUGUUUUGCAUGUCUCCCAAGUUUUUGAAAUCUAAACGAUUGACAGUGUCCUGUUAUUUUGAUAAACGUCUUCUGUGCAUAAAAUAAUCAUCACAUCCUGAAUUUAUUAAAGGGCUGAAUAUUCAAAGAGCAUGCAAACGAAGACCCAGAAAAGCUACCAGUAAGGGAAAUGGCUACAUCUGUGAAAGAAAGGUACAAUAAAAAAAAUAGGUAGAAUUAAGUUACUAAACAGUGAUGCCUCCUGUUAGCUGUUCUGUUUAAGGAACAUUAUCUUUUACCGUUAUCUUCCGAAGAAAAAUAAUGCACGGCACAUGCAAUUCUGUAUGGUUUAUUCUAGGUUAAUAUUGCUGUACUUUACACAUUCAAUAAACAGAGACAUUUGGUUUGUGGUUUGAAAAAUUGCCAGAGAGAUAAAUUUGGUAGCAAUGAGUGCCAAAGUGCCUUCAAGUCUUUUUACCUUAAGUUGAGGGUAGUCAGUACCCUACUGAAUCAAGCUCAUAAUUUGUAAUAAUCUUUCCUUCUUUCCACAUAAGCACUAGCAAUUGCACCAUAAGCCACAUGUAGUGCACCUCGCAUUGCAGAAGCUAGUAAUAAGGGAGCAACAUGAUGUGUGGUAACAGGACACCCCAGGAACCAGUCUAGUAUCACAGUCAGUUCUUCUGGUAAAAGUUGUUUUAGUCACGGUUUCUUAAGUUACAGUCUGCUGUCUAUUUAAAUAUAAUUCAUUGACAGUGCUGUUGUUCCGUUGAAGGUCUAGAGUUUUUUUUACGUUAUUUGUUCUUACAGUUUCAGAGCCACAUGCUGCAGCCCAUGGCAUGAAUAUGGCUGGUGAAUUCUCUGCCUCUCUCUAGUUGAGUAAAAGCUUCAGGACCAGUCCCUAAAUCCUAUACCCAGGGGUUUUCAACCUCUUUUAAGGAGUGUACCCCUUCUGGUACACCUCUGGCAGGAGCGGGGGGUCUAGCACACGGCAGUGUCGCCGUGUCCAAGCUCCCCCACACCGUGGCCAGCUGGCUGCAUGGCCUGCAGGGGGGAGCUGCUGUCCUCACCCCUCCGCCCAGCCCUGCUCCUGGGAUGCAGCGGCAUUUGGUGGUGGACAUCCCCGGCCGCCCACAUGUACCCCUUAGUCCCUUCCCAAGUCCCCCUGGAGGGUACGUGUACCCCUAGUUGACAAUACCUGCUAUACCCCAAAACUGUCUCAGAGGAAUGUCUGUCUUUCCAAAACGUCAUACUGCAAUUACUGUUAUGCUAUUUAAAAUAGAAAAUUAAUUUUCAUGUAGCAUAAAAUCACCCUGGCUGCUUCUUUAAGCAUCAUUUAGAAAGUGUCAUCUGAAAUGUGAAAUAUAGUUUGUCAGUCUUCAAAUAAUACAUAUUAAAAUUUGAAAGUCAAAGCUGUCUUGAGAGAAUAAGAUGCCUGUUCUCUUCUAUCUUAAUUAAAGUCCAUUUCUUAGCCUUUCUGAAGAUUUAGAAACUAUCUCAUAUUUCAAUUAAGCAAAUUAUUUAAUUUUUUUUAUGCAGCACAUAUUUUUAAUUAUCUGAAUGUAAAUUUUAAAGCAAUUAAAGAUUCAAAUGGAUUUGUUCUUCCAAUAUUAUGAUUUAGUUUAUUUCUUUUUGCAACAAUUUUCAUUAGCAUAUUGCCUAGUAGAAAUAGCUUUUAAUUUUAAGUAAUAAUUAUGAUCUACAUAUUUAGACCCUACAUACUUAAUACACUAAAUCAUGUGUUGCCUUAUUGUUUGUGAAAGGAAACACACAGCCAGCAUUGCAAGUCAGGACUCUAUUGUAUUGUUUGUGGAGCUGAAAUAUUACCAAAAGCAGAAGGAAUUUUGAAAAAAACUGUCUGCAGUAACACUGAACUGAAAGUAAUCCAGAAACUCUUCCAAAAUAUAAAUGUCAGAGCUACAAAGUGCCCUAGCAGUUGCAUGUGUGAAUUAGGUGACACUUCAGAAGAUGAUAACGUGGUGUUGAUCAUCACAGAUAAUGCAAGUCUUAGCCAUCUGAAAGAAACUUUGAAGGUUUAUCAGACUCCAGUUAAGUGUGAAGACAUGGAUGCUGAUUUAUCUUUAAAUGCUAUUUGGAAUAUGAAGGAAUAUUCUCUGACCAGCUAUUUGCAGUGCAGGGCUUGCGUUGUCAGAGCUGUGUCUCCAUGUCCUUUGGUGGGAGCUGAAAUUACGGAUUUCAGCCACAAUGCACAGUCAAGG